This 492-nucleotide ribosomal RNA is filed under the name uncultured bacterium. Its description in RNAcentral is "bacterial SSU rRNA". It matches the Rfam family "Bacterial small subunit ribosomal RNA", at positions 37 to 518 of the family's 1533-position model. The record is from RNAcentral.
UGGCGGCGCGUUUAAGCAUGCAAGUCGAGCGGCAAGGGCCGUCGGGCCCCUAGAGCGGCGGACGGGUGAGUAACACGUGGACAAUCUGCCCCCCGGCCCCGGGAUAGCCCAGGGAAACCUGGAUUAAUACCGGAUGAGACGGGACCCGCGAUGGCGGGACCCGGGAAAGGCGCUGCGGCGCCGCCGGGGGAUGAGUCUGCGUCCCAUUAGCUAGACGGCGGGGUAACGGCCCACCGUGGCGACGAUGGGUAGCCGGCCUGAGAGGGUGGACGGCCACAUUGGAACUGAGACACGGUCCAGACUCCUACGGGAGGCAGCAGCUAAGAAUCUUCCGCAAUGGGCGAAAGCCUGACGGAAGCGACGCCGCGUGAACGAAGAAGGCCGUGAGGUUGUAAAGUUCUUUUCGGGAGGGGAACAACCGUGGCAGGGAAUGGCCGCGGGAUGACGUGAAUCCCGGAAUAACGCCCCGGCUAACUACGUGCCAGCCGCCGC